This 274-nucleotide ribosomal RNA is filed under the name uncultured bacterium. RNAcentral's name for it is "partial 16S ribosomal RNA". It matches the Rfam family "Bacterial small subunit ribosomal RNA", at positions 523 to 796 of the family's 1533-position model. The record is from RNAcentral.
AUACGGAGGUGGCAAGCGUUGUUCGGAUUUAUUGGGUGUAAAGGGUAUGUAGGUGGUUAGAUAAGUCGAGCGUGAAAUCCAUUGGCUCAACCAAUGAACUGCACUCGAAACUGUUUAACUUGAGUUCAGGAGAGGAAAGCGGAAUUCCAGGUGUAAGAGUGAAAUCUGUAGAGAUCUGGAGGAACACCAGUGGCGAAGGCGGCUUUCUGGACUGACACUGACACUGAAAUACGAAAGCUAGGGGAGCAAACAGGAUUAGAAACCCCAGUAGUCC